This 404-nucleotide ribosomal RNA is filed under the name uncultured bacterium. Its description in RNAcentral is "bacterial SSU rRNA". It matches the Rfam family "Bacterial small subunit ribosomal RNA", at positions 917 to 1322 of the family's 1533-position model. The record is from RNAcentral.
GGGCCCGCACAAGCGGUGGAGCAUGUGGUUUAAUUCGAUGAUACGCGAGGAACCUUACCAGGGCUUAAAUGUAGUAUGACCGGCUUGGAAACAGGCCUUCUCUUCGGAGCAGAUUACAAGGUGCUGCAUGGUUGUCGUCAGCUCGUGCCGUGAGGUGUUAGGUUAAGUCCUGCAACGAGCGCAACCCCUAUUCUUAGUUGCCAGCGGUUCGGCCGGGGACUCUAAGAAGACUGCCAGCGCAAGCUGAGAGGAAGGUGGGGAUGACGUCAAAUCAUCACGGCCCUUACGUCCUGGGCUACACACGUGCUACAAUGGUAGAGACAGAGGGCAGCCACCUGGCGACAGGGACGAAAUCCUUAAAACUCUAUCUCAGUUCGGAUCGAAGUCUACAACUCGACUUCGUG